CCCUCAGUGACUCAGUCCAUCUCUCGACCACUCCCUCAGUCUCUCUCUCUCUCGAACUCGAGCGAGGUUCUGACUUCUGAGCCUCAGUUCGAAGAAUCGAAUCGCUCGACCCAUUCGAUUUCAUUUCACGUCAAAGCGAUUCGAUUCACAUUAGUCGAUCAAUUGUUGCAGACUGCUGGUGAGUACGAGCUCGGAGCUUCAAUUGUUUUGGAUUGUUGAGUUGAGGACGAGGGAAUUUGUUCAUACGGCUGUGUCACGAUUCUUGCUCAUUGCAUUAGGUGCUGGUGUUGGUUUGGGAGUAAAUAUAUUGAUAUAUCCCAUUUGGGCUGGUGUUCCAAUCUCGAGUUCUCAACAAUUCAAGAAAUCUUACAAUCAAGGCUUAGAAGUUAGAACUGGAGCAACGUAGGAGCAUUGCAGUUGGUCGGUUUGGACCUACAGAAACUUUGAGUCUUUAAGUGAGGCAAGGAGCACAACAAGCUAAUAUGAAGUGACAAUGAGAUGAAAUUUGAGUCUUUGAAUACUUUGUUUUAAACUAUUGUCCGCUUUGUUAUUGUAUGAUUCAUUCAUUUGUGUGAACCGUAAGUGAUGAUAUGAAGUGAUGAUGAGAUGAACUGUAAGUGAUGAUAUGAAUUAUGAAGUGAUGAACUGAUGAUGAGAUGAACUGUAAGUGAUGAACUGAAGUUGAUGUGAGAGAAUGAGAGAUUGAGAGUUAUAAGUUUUUUUAUUGUUUUACAUUUGUGUAUGGUCUGGGCCUUUAAAUUCAUAAAAGUUAUUUGAUUGCUUUUC
Rosa rugosa (rugosa rose) is the source of this 786-nucleotide long non-coding RNA. RefSeq lists it as uncharacterized. The record is from RefSeq and is a predicted model, not a curated record. NCBI's taxonomy places the organism in Eukaryota, Viridiplantae, Streptophyta, Magnoliopsida, Rosales, Rosaceae. The transcript is spliced from 4 exons.